RNA transcript from Phycodurus eques (leafy seadragon), 2492 nucleotides. It is a transcript of the gene named selenium binding protein 1, with no coding region annotated. The record is from RefSeq and is a predicted model, not a curated record. The transcript has 12 exons. NCBI's taxonomy places the organism in Eukaryota, Metazoa, Chordata, Actinopteri, Syngnathiformes, Syngnathidae.
AAGACAAUUUGGCUUGAAAUUGCCCGGUAUGUCCUUUUUCAAGCUGUACCCACUUAUCGGUAAUGUGAACUGAAAUGACAGUUGGCGGCUCCGAACCCCAAAGAGGAGGGGACGAGGCUGAAAAUAUACGAGAUGAUGAUGUUUUGAUAGGCGGGUCCCAUUCAAUCACGUCAACUAACUGGCUCGCGGCGUUCAUCUCUUGUGCACGCUCUGCUAUUUAAUCGACAGUUCCAUUCAACAUUAGAAAGAGUUCAUUAUUGUUGUAGAACACAGCACAUGUACUGCAUACUUUUCUAUAUUGUAUUUGCAUGGCUCGGCGGCGGUCACCCGGCCGGGUGGCUCUGUCCAAACCCCGAAAUGCACUUCCGGCAUGUGUGUGUGCGCUUAUUUUACAAAGCCAUCGUCCAUGAAACGGGACCGGACGCGGCACGAUUGUGGUUCCCAAAUGCUGAUGAAUUUCCCCAAAAUAAAUUGAAGCCAUUUAUUCCUGAAUUCGCCGUCUUUGGCAUGUGACGCGAAGUUUUGCAGAGGACCGAGCUGUGUUGUCACUCAACCGUUUUUCCUGGGUUGAGUGUGCGUGAAGCAACCAACAAGUGGGCAGGUACAGCGGAACCCUGCUGCUGGCAAGCACCUUGGGCCGCGAACUGUGAAAAUCCCUGGAUAAUUGACGGAAAUUAUUUGAUAUUUUUGUUUGUAAGUUUAGUAAGCAAAAAUAUUGGAACAGAGAGAAAAGAGAAAAAAAACAAUCGGCCAAAUCGUCCAUCCAUCCAUUAUCUGAGCCGCUUCUCCUCACGCGGGUCGCGGGCGUGCAGGAGCCCAUCCCAGCUAUCAUCGGGCAUGAGGCGGGGUACACCCCGAACUGGUCGCCGGCCAAUCGCAGGUCGGCCAAAUUGUGAUUAUGCAAUGUCCUUUGUAGUAAGAGAAGAUAACGAUUGGGUUGUUUAAGUUCACAUUUGUUUGGGUGGCACACACACACACACACACGUGCGCACGUUCAUUGUUUUGCAUGAAAUGUCUUCUCCAGCGGGGUUUGUCCUCUCGCUUGAGGCUCUGCCCACCCUCUGAUGUCCGUGGGGGUCCUAGGCCCGCCCCUGGCGUCUGAUUGGUGGGGCAGGGCCAUAAAUGCGUGUACGUGAGGCGACGUUGCUCCCAGUGUGCGUGCUGAACACCAGCGAGAGUCGACAUGGCCAGCUGCUCAGGUUGCGGACCAGGAUACCGGAGCCCGCUCGACGCUAUGAAGGGCGAUCGUGAGAAGAUCGUGUAUCUGCCGUGCAUCUACCGCAACACGUCCACUCGUCAGGCCGACUACUUGGCCACCGUGGACGUGGACCCUGAAUCUUCAUCCUACUGCCAGGUGGUCCACCGUCUUCCGAUGCCCAACAUGAACGACGAGCUACACCACAGUGGCUGGAACGCAUGCAGCAGCUGCUUCGGCGACGCGUCCAAGAAGCGCAACCGCCUCAUCCUGCCCGCCCUCAUCUCCUCUCGGAUCUACGUGGUCGACGUCGGCACUGACCCCAGGAAACCGAGACUCCACAAGACUGUUGAGCCCGUGGACCUGUACUGGAAGUGCGGCCUGGCCAACCCCCACACCACCCACUGUCUGGGUACCGGUCAGAUCCUGAUCAGUUGCAUGGGGGACCCGUCGGGGGGCGGAAAAGGGGGCUUUGUGCUACUGGACGGCGAGACGUUUGAGGUGAUCGGCAACUGGGAGCAUCCCGGCGAGGCCGCCCCCUUCGGCUAUGACUUCUGGUACCAGCCUCGCCACAAUGUAAUGAUCAGCACCGAGUGGGGGGCCCCCAAAGCCCUCGCAGAUGGUUUUAAUCCCGCUCAUGUCGCAGAAGGUCAGUACGGUACUUCCCUCCACGUGUGGGACUGGACCACCCAUAAGAGGGUGCAGACCUUGGAUCUGGGAGAAGAGGGUGCCAUUCCACUGGAGAUCCGGUUCCUCCAUGACCCAAGCGCCACUGAAGGUUUUGUUGGCUGCGCUCUCAAGGGAAGCGUGUUCCGGUUCUACAAAGCACCAACAGGAAAGUGGGCUGCAGAGAAGGUCAUCAGUGUUCCCAGUAAGACAGUCGAAGGGUGGAUGCUACCUGAAAUGCCGGGUCUGCAUCAACACCACCUGAUAACUGGCUGCAUGGUGACAUCAGACAGUAUGACAUCAGCGACACCAGGAACCCUCGACUGGUUGGACAGGUGUUUUUGGGAGGCAGUAUCACCAGCGACGGACCAGUCCGAGUCCCGGAUGACCCAGAAAACCAGCCUCGCCCUCGUUUUAUCCAGGGGAAGCUUGUCCAUGGUGGUCCUCAGAUGUUACAGCUAAGCUUGGAUGGUCGCAGGCUUUAUGUAACUACGUCACUGUACAGUGGCUGGGACAAACAGUUCUACCCUGAAAUGCUCCGGGAGGGAUCCACGAUGAUGCAGCUCGACGUGGACUGCGUCAAGGGGGGUCUGACCCUCAACGAGAACUUCCUCGUGGACUUUGGCAAAGA